RNAcentral lists this ribosomal RNA (253 nucleotides) under uncultured bacterium. Its description in RNAcentral is "partial 16S ribosomal RNA". It matches the Rfam family "Bacterial small subunit ribosomal RNA", at positions 524 to 776 of the family's 1533-position model. The record is from RNAcentral.
GACAGAGGUGCCAAGCGUUAGGCGGAAUCACUGGGCUUAAAGCGUGUGUAGGCGGAUUUGUAAGUACCUUGUGAAAUCCCACGGCUCAACCGUGGAACUGCUCGGUAUACUGCUUAUCUUGAGCCACUUAGGGGCUACCGGAACAAAUGGUGGAGCGGUGAAAUGCGUAGAUAUCGUUUGGAACGCCAAUGGUGAAAACAGGUAGCUGGGAGUGUGCUGACGCUGAGACACGAAAGCCAGGGGAGCGAACGGG